GAUGAAGAACGUAGCGAAAUGCGAUACGUAAUGUGAAUUGCAGAAUUCAGUGAAUCAUCGAAUCUUUGAACGCAUAUUGCGCUCUCUGGUAUUCCGGAGAGCAUGCUUGUUUGAGUAUCAGUAAACACCUCAACUUCCAUAUCUUUUUUGAAAUGGGAGUUGGACUUGAGUGAUCCCAACGCUUUUCCUCACCGAAAAGCGGCGGGUUACUUGAAAUGCAGGUGCAGCUGGACUUUUCUCUGAGCUAUAAGCAUAUCUAUUUAGUCUGCCUAAAAAACAGAUUAUUACCUUUGCUGCAGCUAACAUAAAGGAGAUUAGUUCUUGUGCUGACUGAUGCAGGAUUCACAAAGACAGGCUUCGGCCGACUUUGUAAACUCGAUCUCAAAUCAAGUAAGACUACCCGCUGAACUUAAGCAUAUCAAUGCGGAGGA
This 431-nucleotide unclassified non-coding RNA is filed under the name soil metagenome. Its description in RNAcentral is "partial contains 5.8S ribosomal RNA, internal transcribed spacer 2, and large subunit ribosomal RNA". The stretch from base 1 to 120 matches the Rfam family "5.8S ribosomal RNA", at positions 35 to 154 of the family's 154-position model. The record is from RNAcentral.